GGAUAACCUACCCUUAGGACUGGGAUAACCUUGGGAAACUGAGGAUAAUACCGGAUAGGCAAUUUUUCCUGUAAUGGUUUUUUGUUUAAAUGUUUUUUUCGCCUAAGGAUGGGUCUGCGGCCGAUUAGGUAGUUGGUUAGGUAAUGGCUUACCAAGCCGUUGAUCGGUACGGGUUGUGAGAGCAAGAGCCCGGAGAUGGAACCUGAGACAAGGUUCCAGGCCCUACGGGGUGCAGCAGGCGCGAAACCUCCGCAAUGUGAGAAAUCGCGACGGGGGGAUCCCAAGUGCCAUUCUUAACGGGAUGGCUUUUCAUUAGUGUAAAGAGCUUUUGGAAUAAGAGCUGGGCAAGACCGGUGCCAGCCGCCGCGGUAACACCGGCAGCUCUAGUGGUAACAAUUUUUAUUGGGCCUAAAGCGUCCGUAGCCGGUUUAAUAAGUCUCUGGUGAAAUCCUGUAGCUUAACUGUGGGAAUUGCUGGAGAUACUAUUAGACUUGAGACCGGGAGAGGUUAGAGGUACUCCCAGGGUAGAGGUGAAAUUCUGUAAUCCUGGGAGGACCGCCUGUUGCGAAGGCGUCUAACUGGAACGGUUCUGACGGUGAGGGACGAAAGUUAGGGGCGCGAACCGGAUUAGAUACCCGGGUAGUCCUAACUGUAAACGAUGCGGACUUGGUGUUGGGGUGGCUUUGAGCUGCUCCAGUGC
Molecule: ribosomal RNA, 700 nt
Filed under: uncultured archaeon
Lineage: Archaea
Description: bacterial SSU rRNA
Rfam family: Archaeal small subunit ribosomal RNA
Source: RNAcentral